GUGUCAGCAGCCGCGGUAAUACGGAGGGUGCGAGCGUUGUUCGGAUUUAUUGGGCGUAAAGCGCGUGUAGGCGGCUUGUUAAGUCUGAUGUGAAAGCCCCGGGCUCAACCUGGGAAGUGCAUUGGAUACUGGCAGACUUGAAUACGGGAGAGGGCAGUGGAAUUCCUAGUGUAGGAGUGAAAUCCGUAGAUAUUAGGAGGAACACCGGUGGCGAAGGCGGCUGCCUGGACCGAUAUUGACGCUGAGACGCGAAAGCGUGGGGAGCAAACAGGAUUAGAAACCCUGGUAGUCC
This 292-nucleotide ribosomal RNA is filed under the name uncultured bacterium. RNAcentral's name for it is "partial 16S ribosomal RNA". It matches the Rfam family "Bacterial small subunit ribosomal RNA", at positions 505 to 796 of the family's 1533-position model. The record is from RNAcentral.